This is a long non-coding RNA of Oncorhynchus kisutch (coho salmon), 3253 nucleotides long. RefSeq lists it as uncharacterized. The record is from RefSeq and is a predicted model, not a curated record. Lineage: Eukaryota; Metazoa; Chordata; Actinopteri; Salmoniformes; Salmonidae. The transcript has 5 exons.
GCACUAGAACUCAGUUGAUGCUUUCCCAUGCAGUGACUGUGUUUUAACUUUGAAUACCUGGCUGCUACCAAACCAAUACAUUUAUGUUCGUUCUUUGGGCAUUUCCGCACUAUUUGAGGGGGUGGUGGCAAAUUGCAUUGGAGACGCAGCAGAAGUUGUGCGAGGGACGUAAAAAGAGCAAUAUGUAAACCUUGCUGUGUUCAAGGUCCAAUAACCUACAGAGAAAAUACUAUUUGAAUAAUCACCGUGGCCGAAGAUGGUUUCGGAAAUGGAUGAAAUAUAUGGAUGGGAACAGCCCCCUUUGAACCAAGUUUUCAGAACCUGGGCAUUCAGUGUGUGAAGAAAAAGGAUGUGGACGAGGCAGUUUCCUGUAGGCUGCAGACCCAAAAACAACCCCUUCAACAUUCCUGAGGCGAACGUGUGGGAGGAGUUUGACCUAAAUGCAGUGAGGCUGUGUUUCCAGGCCUCGAUCACUCUGCCUACCGGGGAACUCUGACCUCUGGAGCCCGUGGUGUCCCAGCCCAUCUACGACAACAACCCCAGUAAUUGUAACAAAUUGAACGCCUGAAACAACGGCAGAAUUUACAGAAACCUCAUACAGGUGACUAUUUAUUGCUGAUAACAUUGUUACAUUUGAUUCAGAGGAUGUUUUGAAUUAUUGUAAGGAUUAUUAUCCAGGCUCUAGUGCUCCGAUGUCGGUCUGUUCCAGUGCCAUUUGACAGGGCAGGUGUUUCUGAUGGAGGGGGAGGUGCUGUACAAGGCUGUCCAACGGGACGAGAAUCUCCUGCAUUCUACACACACACACAGUGGUAAACACCAGCAACCUCUCCUUAUGGGGCCUUGUCAGAAAGUACAUACGGGAAGCCCUGCUCUCGAUCAAGGGGCAGGUGUUGCCUUUCCGAUCACUCCAAUCAGUUAUCAAUGUGAUCGUCCUGCCAUCAUGUGCCACUUGAACGGGUAAAAAAAAUCCCCUCUGAUGAUUGGUGGGUAACUGUUUUUCUACCACAGGCAGCCAGGUGUGCAUUGAGUUUUCAGUGUGAGUACGCUCAUUGAUAAUCACUUCUUAUUCUGUUGCAGGUUGAAGCGGCAACAGACAGGGAACAAUUGCGUACAGCUCUGUUCGGGCUGCAUUCUCACUCGAGGGGAAACAUACAGUCUGAAGACUGAAGACUCUGAUAGGUGUUGCAUGCUAAUAAUGUCACAUCAUGAUCAGAGUAACAGCUGUACGCUGAUGCUACAUACUGGAUAUUCCAUGACAAUAAUUACCUCAUGUUAAGUGCACUUUUCUAAAUGGUCACUCAUUCUGUAAGGUGCGCAGCUAUGGAAGAUAGUCAAGUUCAAAUCAGCCUCAUCUAUUACCUGUCUCUAUGUAGUCUCUAUAGACAGACGGGUUGCCUCACACAAUGUACCAAUGUUCCAACAUCCACGUCUGUACAAGUACCUGCGUUAAUAGGGACAGAGAGGAGGGGUCGGAAAUGGGAUGUGCUUUAUCGCCUUAUCUGGUGACGUCAACGUCGUAUCUGCUUGUUGCCCUAGCUUUAAACAUCCCGCCAGACACAAAGUACUAGCUAGCUAGCGAGAUGGAGAACGCAGAGGUUAUUUUUAAUGAGUGCAAGUGUCAAGGUUGCGUCAUCUACCUUCACUAAAACCACUGCAAAAGUUUUUCCUGCAAACUUUGGUUUUGAAUCUCAAUGUUCUGGCAUGUCUGCUUUCAGGGUACGGAAAGAGUUAGAUUUUUCAGGCUUGGCCCUCCUACCCAAACUCGUGAUUUUGGUGGGAGAGUUGUCUGUCUAAAGAGGACCCUCCCCUUUCAAAAUGUAUAAGAGAAUCAGACAUCCCCCCCCCCCCCUGGGAUUUCCAAGACUGGUCACUGGGCAAAAUUACAUCAAAUUAGUAUUAUGACAUUGUAUGCAGUAGGCUAGAUGUUAGCAAGAGAGCUUCUUAAAUUGAUGGCAAGUUUUUCUAAAUUAUCUCACAAACUAAACCAAUAAGCAUUUGUCUAAUGAUCUAGACGAGCGGGGAACUGAUUCCAUGUUCAAGACGUUCCAAUGCUGCAGGUUUUCGUGUCGCACGUGCCCAGAACGACAUAUGGACAUUUACAAAAUGUGAAAAGGCAUUCUGUGGGGUGGGGAAAAUAGGAUGCUAAGCUGAUGCCCUUAUGUCAUUUGAUCUAGUUGACAUUAUUUUGCUCUAUAGUUUGUAUCUCAAUUGCAGAAUGUACUGCAGAAAAUACAAGUUGGUAUUUCCUCCCCCCAUCAUUGUUCUAUAUGUCUGCCACUAUGGUCCAAACUACCAUCCAACCUUUUCAGGUGUUGCUGAAUGCAGAUACAAAGGGUAUGGAGCUAAUAAGGCUUCUGAAAAGAGGGCUUGAUAGAGAGGUGUGGACGAAGGUGUGGACCGGGCUUGUGUGUCUGCCAGGUAAAACCUUGAAGUUAGUCUGUCAACAAGGUGUAUCCAAAUCUGAUUCAUGCCACUGUUUGCCAGGUACUCCCUCUGCCCCAGGUCUAUAUCCAACCUUGUUUAGAGGGGAAGGAUGAAACCCAGCAGGGUUACAGACUUCAAGGACGGACCUCUUGUAUUUGAGAAGGGAGUCCGUAAAUCCGUCCAACCACCAUUCCCACACAGGUGAAUAUGUAUUACACACAGGUGAAUAUGUCUUAAUUUUUAUCCGACUCACAGGUUCUGUGUUAGUGGGAAGGCCUCAGGCUGAGACUAGUCAGACGGGUUCGACAGAGAGGCUGCGUUCUGUGAGGACAGAAUUUGUCAAUCAGGUGUCAGGACCUGUGCUCGACAGUUUAUUGGACAGGCUUCUGCAAUGGGAAGUUCUCAAUGAACUUGAAAUGGAAACAGUGAAGGUGAUUCGCGAGAGAGCAAAGAAGGACUGGGAAGUCAUAGCCAUGGUGCUGAGGAAAUGAGCUGCUUCAUGUUUGCUAAUUAAAACCCAUCUGAUUGAACUGGACCCCUUGUUCUGCGCAAUGCUUGGUGUCCGCUGAAACAUUAUUGUAGUAUGAGGCAUUGAUGAACACGACCAAUGAUGUCUGUAUUCAAUAAAACAUUUGGUCUGCAUUUAUUGAUUAUUUUGGAAUUAGGGUGUAAGGCUUAUCGUUUUUUGAAAAUCAUUCAGCAUACAUGUAACCGCAUUAGACAUCAUCUUGAGCACUCUUUGAUAAGAAAACAAUGUUUCAUGUCAGGUUCACAUGCUUACCCUAACACUUUUCCUACAGUUAUUCAAAUACACCAUGUAACAUGAACU